Molecule: long non-coding RNA, 604 nt
Organism: Populus trichocarpa (black cottonwood)
Lineage: Eukaryota; Viridiplantae; Streptophyta; Magnoliopsida; Malpighiales; Salicaceae
Exons: 2
Source: RefSeq, a predicted model, not a curated record
UAUCUCUUGAGUUCUAGCCAAGAAAACAUUUAUCCAAAGAAAGACUUUAAAAGAAGAGAAGGAAACAUUAGACAUUUAUAAUGAAGAACUGUGUGCACUUGAAUUCACAUUCCCAAUGAUUGUGAUUAGCUGUCUAUGGAAGGCACUUGACUGAAACAGCUGAGAGGCGCACAUGGGAUAUUUUUGAAAAAUGGUAGAAUAAACCAAAAGGUUUGUAGCUUUUCAACUGGAUCUUUAAACAGCCAGAUGUAAACAAUGAGGUGAGACUAAAAUCUGGAAUGAUUGGAAGAAGAAGCUUCGUGUAGCAUAGCCGGAUAAAAUAGGAUUGUGCAUAUUCAUCAAACAGUGAUAGUGCAGGAGUCGUUGUUCUUAUUGACAAAACAAACUCUGGCAUGUAAUGGCGUGGUGUGAGGCAGCUAAGCUUGAUGGCCCAAGGAAUUUAACUACCAUGUAUGAAUGGGAAUGGUGGGACCUCGCCAUUUCUGACUGAACGUUCCUUUUCCUGUUGGUAAGGCCAUAGCAGCAUUUUUUUACUGUUGAACUGCGGAUUUGAUAAGAUUACUUUCUUUCUUUCUUUCUUUCUUGAUUUUGAUGAUUUAUUGCU